Molecule: ribosomal RNA, 403 nt
Filed under: uncultured bacterium
Lineage: Bacteria
Description: bacterial SSU rRNA
Rfam family: Bacterial small subunit ribosomal RNA
Source: RNAcentral
CAGCCCUUGACAUCCCGGUCGCGGAUUCCAGAGACGGAAUCCUUCAGUUCGGCUGGACCGGAGACAGGUGCUGCAUGGCUGUCGUCAGCUCGUGUCGUGAGAUGUUGGGUUAAGUCCCGCAACGAGCGCAACCCCCGUCCUUAGUUGCUACCAUUUAGUUGAGCACUCUAAGGAGACUGCCGGUGAUAAGCCGCGAGGAAGGUGGGGAUGACGUCAAGUCCUCAUGGCCCUUACGGGCUGGGCUACACACGUGCUACAAUGGCGGUGACAAUGGGACGCUAAGGGGCAACCCUUCGCAAAUCUCAAAAAGCCGUCUCAGUUCGGAUUGGGCUCUGCAACUCGAGCCCAUGAAGUUGGAAUCGCUAGUAAUCGUGGAUCAGCAUGCCACGGUGAAUACGUUCCC